GUGCUCAUUUCAGCAGCAUAUGUACUAAAAUUGGAAUGAUAUGGAGAAAAUUAGCAUGGCCCCUGCACAAGAAUGACAUGUAAAGUCUUGAAGCAUUUCUUAUUUUG
Molecule: small nuclear RNA, 107 nt
Organism: Manis pentadactyla (Chinese pangolin)
Lineage: Eukaryota; Metazoa; Chordata; Mammalia; Pholidota; Manidae
Source: RefSeq, a predicted model, not a curated record